UUCACUCCCAACCCAAUGUGAACCAUACCAAACUGUUGCCUCGGCGGGGUCACGCCCCGGGUGCGUCGCAGCCCCGGAACCAGGCGCCCGCCGGAGGGACCAACCAAACUCUUUUCUGUAGUCCCCUCGCGGACGUUAUUUCUUACAGCUCUGAGCAAAAAUUCAAAAUGAAUCAAAACUUUCAACAACGGAUCUCUUGGUUCUGGCAUCGAUGAAGAACGCAGCGAAAUGCGAUAAGUAAUGUGAAUUGCAGAAUUCAGUGAAUCAUCGAAUCUUUGAACGCACAUUGCGCCCGCCAGUAUUCUGGCGGGCAUGCCUGUCCGAGCGUCAUUUCAACCCUCGAACCCCUCCGGGGGGUCGGCGUUGGGGACCUCGGGAGCCCCUAAGACGGGAUCCCGGCCCCGAAAUACAGUGGCGGUCUCGCCGCAGCCUCUCCUGCGCAGUAGUUUGCACAACUCGCACCGGGAGCGCGGCGCGUCCACGUCCGUAAAACACCCAACUUUCUGAAAUGUUGACCUCGGAUCAGGUAGGAAUACCCGCUGAACUUAAGCUAUGAG
This 557-nucleotide ribosomal RNA is filed under the name Trichoderma atroviride. Its description in RNAcentral is "eukaryotic LSU rRNA". The stretch from base 177 to 330 matches the Rfam family "5.8S ribosomal RNA". Lineage: Eukaryota; Fungi; Ascomycota; Sordariomycetes; Hypocreales; Hypocreaceae. The record is from RNAcentral.